Pelobates cultripes (western spadefoot toad) is the source of this 132-nucleotide non-coding RNA. NCBI's taxonomy places the organism in Eukaryota, Metazoa, Chordata, Amphibia, Anura, Pelobatidae. The record is from the annotation of a GenBank genome assembly.
GGGGGGCACCCUAAAGCACAAACACACGCCACGUGUAUAUGUGUAUGUGUGUAUAUAUAUAUAUAUAUAUAUAUAUAUAUAUAUAUAUAUAUAUACACUGCUGUGUGAUGUCUGUGUGUGAGGGUGCUGGUA